Long non-coding RNA from Homo sapiens (human), 11409 nucleotides. RefSeq lists it as uncharacterized. The transcript has 8 exons. Lineage: Eukaryota; Metazoa; Chordata; Mammalia; Primates; Hominidae. The record is from RefSeq and is a predicted model, not a curated record.
AGAGACACUGUUGUCUACAAAAGGUAUAAUUACCCUGCUAGCGGCUAUACAUAGGGCUUGUGCCCAGAAAGAGGAUAAAGCCAUAUCAAAACUCCCUACGAUUCCUGUAGUGUUUUUCCAGCUACUCCCCCACCGACUCCCCUCGGACCUCAGUUUGGGAUAGAACCUGACAAUUGGUGUCAUGAACAGGAUCCUGAGAUUUAGAAGCAGUGGCGUCCCUCUUGCGGCAACAUUUAGCAGCAUGUGGUUGGGCCGUCAACGAAUCCAAGGUCCAAGGUCCUGGAUUAUCUGCCAGAUUCUUGGGAGUUAUCUGGUCAGCUUUACAGAAAGAAUUCAGGAAAAGGAGAAAGCCUCUCUUACACCAAUCCCGCCAGUCUAUGUUGGUGGCAGAGAUGGCUCCAGUUAGUAGUUGCUGCCUAGGAGAUGAAGUGAAUUUCACAAGAAAGACAUAAGAAGCCAACAACUGCUAUUACCCCUGUAUGCACACAAGUUGAACCUAACGGCAUUAAAAGAAAAGUUGGAGACAUCCCAUCUACACAACACAGCCCAAAUGAUCAGCUGCAUUCCUGCAGAGCCAUCUCUUCAGUAUAUACAAAUGAAGGAGAUGAGCAGUAUUAUUUUAUUACCACAUUCACAAAAGGGACAAGCUGUGAAAUGCCUAGAUUCCAGAGCAACAGACUGUGAUCCAUUCCCAACAACCCCUCCCUACCGUCUGCCACCAGUUCCCUUAAAGCAGGAAUCAGAGCUAGACUGACUCAACUAAGAAUUGUUUUGGAGAACUUGGAACUCAACAUUCCAUAAAGUAAGUGUAAUAUUUUUUCUAAAGAAUUUUAUCCUCCUUUCACUAACGUCAUUCAAGUUUUAUCACCAAUAGCUCUAUAAACAUCAGCCUGAAGGCACAUGGAAGCAUAUUUCCUAAGGCUGCUAAAGCAUUCAUUCUCAACCCUAACUGAACAGUAGUAUAUGCUGCCUUGCAAUGAGGUUGAUAAACAGGGCAUAGAAGGUCAAGGAUUCUAAGCCAGGAGCAAAUCCCACACCGGUUCAACUUAAGCAGUACAUUAUUCCAGAAUAAUGCAAUCACCGGAGCUGUGCUUACACUACAAAUCUUAAAAGUGUCAUUCCAUUAUAAAAAGGGCUUUGAGAGCAUUAAUAAUCAUAGUCCAUCAGGAAAGUCCUUCAUUCAACUCAUGGUCCAAUCAAAACUGCCUUAAUGUUAUAGACUUUGGUAUGGCCUAUGUAGCAUCUAAAAUUAUUUGCUACAUUGAAUUUAUUACUGUGUUUGGCUGACUUUUUUUUUUUUUUUUAACUCAAGACACGCUGAUAACUUUUAUGCUAAGGAAGGAGAAGGCAAAACAAAAGCAUGACAGAAAGUGUAAAGAUUGGACUGCAGGAGAAGAUAUGUGAAUACUUUGAUUAUCCUGUUUGAUAUUGUCUUACUUUUGGGAGAAGAAAAGGAUGAGUAUUAAUAAGUCCAUCUUACAGAGAAAGAAAUGAAGGGUUGAAAAAGAGCUCAUACGGCUAGUAAGUGGUGGAGUGAAACCCAAAUGCCAGUGUUUUAAAAGGAUAUAGCCAAUAUUCCAGAGAAAAGGAAAUUUCUAUAAUAAGGCCACCAAACUUUUAGUAUAUUAAGUAAGGCACUGCUAUAUUUUCUAGAAAUUAUCCUUUUACAAAUACUUUUCAUAUAGAUAUCUAAUUAUUGUAUCCGCAAUUGUCGAAAAGACUCAACUCUCUCCCAUUGAAUUGUUUUGGUGCCAAAGUAGAAAUAGAUCAACUGUAUGUGGGGGGUCUAUUUCUGGACUCUUUUUUGAUAUAUUGAUUUUUUGUUCUUAUUUUGUCAGUACUGUUUUGGUCAUUCCAGGUUAUUUGCAUUACCACACAAACACAUAAAGCUUAUUCAUUUCUACAAGAAAAGUCUGUUGGGGUUUUGAUUAGUAUUGUUUGGAAUCUAAACAUGAGUUUGAGUAGAAGUCACUUAUCAACAAUACCUGUGUUGAAUAAUUCUAAAUUAUGAAUGCAGCGUAUCUUACUAUUUAUUUAGGUUCUCUUUAAAUUCUCUCAGCAAUAUGUUAUUGUUUUCAGUGUACUUGUAUCUAUGCGUUUUGCUAAAUUUAUGUCUAAGCGUUUUGCAUAUUGUGAUGCUUUCAAAUGAUAUUUUAAAAAUUUUAUAACAGCUCACUGACAAUAUAUAUUUAGAUAGAUUUAUAUGUAUAUUUUAUAUAUUUUAAAUUGAUCAUAUAUAUGUAUGUGCAUAUAUAUGCAUAUAUAUAUAAUGCUUGUAUCUUUUAGUCUUUCUAAAUUUAUUUAAUAAUUUUGAUGGAAAUUUUUUGCAGAUUGCUUAGACUGUUCUACAUACAUAAUGAUGCUGUCCGUGAAUAGAAAUUUUUACUCAUCCUUUCCUAUCAUUAAAUUGAUGUAUUCCCAUUAUUUAUUUCUUUUUUUGCCUAAUUACAUUAACUAGAAUGUCUAAUAUGAUGUUUAAUGAACGUGGUGAGAAUAGACAUUCUUGCUUUGUUCCCAGGCUUAAAAGAAAAGCAUUCAGUCUUUCAACAUUAAGAAAUGAUGUUAGCUCUGUGUUUUUGGUAGAUGCCUUUUAUUAGUUUAUGAGUCUACUUUCUACUCCUAUUGUUCUAGGCAUAUUUUUAUAAAUAAAUACAAAUUUUUUUCUUCUUUUCCCUUUUUGAAAUGGUUAUAUAAUUAUUUUAUUCACUUGAUAAGUUGAAUUAUAUUGAUGGAUUUUUUUAGUAAGAAUCAAACUUUCAAUAUUGGGGAAAACCUGAUUUCUUCAUAAGAUAUUAUCUUUCUAUGUAUCUUUGCGUUUGACUUAUUCAUGUUUUGUAAAGAACUUCUGAACCUUCACUCUUGAAGGAUAUUGGUCUCUUGUGUGUUUGUAUUGUAAAUGUUUUGUUUGGUUUUGGCAUUAGGCAAUGCAGCCUCAUAAAAUGAGAUAGAAAAUAUUUCUUCAUCUUGCAUUUUCUGAAAUAUUUUGUGUAAGCUUAUUUUAUUUCUUUCUUAAUUGUUUGUUAGCAUUCUCCAGUGAAUCCAUCUGGGCCUAUACGUUUCUUGGUGGGACGUUUAUUCAUAACUAUGAAAUCAUUUCUUUAGUAGAUAAAAGCUCUUUAAUUUUUCUAUUCCAUUUGGGUUGAAUGAAAGAGCUUUUUUCCAUUUCCCUUAUUAAGUUUAUUCAUAUUAAGUUGUGUAUUAAUUUUAUUAUUUUCCUUUUAUUGUCAGUAGCAUAUAGAAGGAAGUACUUUGUAUUAUUCCUGAUAUUGGUAUUUCAUUUUCUUUUUCUUUAUUUGUCUGGGAGUUUAUUAUUUCACUAAUAUUUUCAAAAAAUUAUCUCUUGGUUUUGUGAAUUCUAUGUAUUAUUUGUUUUCUAUUUAUUUUAUGGAAUUGUGGUUUUAUUUUUAUUAUAUCCUUUUUCUUGUUAAAAUGCUUUUUAAAGUUAUUGGUUUACAGUUUUAAAUUUCAACUUUGGUUUUAUAUUCAGGAGGUACACAUGCCAGUUUGUUAUUGGGUAUACUGUAUGAUGCUGAUGUUUGGGGUAUAAUUGGUCUCAUCACCCAGUCACUAAGCAUAGUACCCAACAGGUAGUUUUCAACCACUGCUAUCCUCUCCCCCUCAGUAGUUCCCAGUUUCUGUUAUUGGCAUCUUUAUGUCUAUGAGUACCCAAUGUUUAGCAGCCACUUAAAGUGAGAGCAUGUGGUAUUUGGUUUUCUAUUCCAGCAUUAAUAUGCUUAGGAUAAUGGCCUCCAGCUGCAUCCAUGUUGCUGCAAAGGACAUGAUUUUGUUAUUUUUUAAUGGCUGCAUAGUAUUCUAUUGUGUAUUUUUACCGCGUUUUCCUUAUCCAAUACACCACUGAUGGGUGCCUUGGUUGUUUCCAUGCCUUUGCCACUAUGAAUAGUAUUAUAAUGAAUAUAUGAGUGCAUGUAUCUCUUUGGUAAAAUGAUUUUUUUUAAUAUCCAGUAAUGAGAUUCCUGGGUCAAAUGAUAGUUCUGUUUUAAAUUCUUUGAGAAUUCUCCAAACUGCUUUCCACAGUGGCUGAACUAAUUUACAUUCCCUCCAACAGUGUAUAAGUGUUCCCUUUUGUCUGCAACAUGCCAGCAUCUGUUGUUUUUUUGACUUUUUAAUAACAGCCAUUCUGACUAGUGUGAAAUGGUGUCUCACUGUAGUUUUGAUAAGGUUGUAACAUUUUGAUUAUGAUGUAUAUUGGUGUGAUUUUCUUUGCGUUUUUACUACUCAGAGCUUAUUAAACUUCUUGGGUUUAUACGAUUAUAUUUUCCAUGAGUUUGAAAACUUUUUACCAUUAUUUCUUUACAUAUUUUUCCACCAUCCCUCUCCCAUCCCUAAGUCUCUUUUGGCCUCUUCUGGGACUCCAAUUUUAGGUAUAUUUUACUAGUUGAUAUCGUUUCACAGUUUAUUGAGAGUCUCUUCAUUUUUUUCCUCCUAUUUCAGUUUGAGUAGCUUCUAUUUCCCCGUAUUCAAAGUUACUGAUGCUUUUCUGUAGUUUAUAAUAUACUGAAAAGCCAACUGAUGAAUUUGUUAUUUUAGAUAUUAUAUUUUCAAUAUAAAAAUUUUCUUUCUCAUAAUUUGUAUUUUUCUAUUGAAAUCUUGUAUCUUUUCCCUCCUUAUGUUCAUUUAGUCCUUUUAAGUCCUUGACCAUAUUUAUAAUAGCUAUUUUGUGUCCUGGUUAGCUCUUUCCAUCAUUUCUGCAUCUCUUUAUUUUGAUUGACUUUUCUCAUACUUAUAGGGCAUAUAUUCCUGUGUCUUUGCGUGUCUACUCAUGUUUUAUUUAAUCCUAAACCUUAUAAAUGGUGUAUUUUCCUCUUAUUUAAAGAAGAUUGGAUUUGAUACUUGCAGACUUAAUUUACUUGUACUUCAGCUUUUUUAUAUUAAGAAUUGUUUAUAAGAGUCAUUACAUUUGGACUAGAGUAGCCUUAUUCCUGAGAUGUGAGAUUUCUGAAGUGUCAUUUAAUUAUCUGAAGUUUCAACAAGGUCUCUCUAUUCUGGCUGGUUGGAACUCAGAUUUUUCCAAUGGAUAUACAAGCUUUGGAAUCUUCACUGAGUUCUCAGCAACUUGGUAGGUAUCCUUUGCCCAGCAUUUUCAAGUAUCAUCCUGUGUGUGCAUACUUUAAUAAUCAGCCAAAGACUAAAUAGGAGUCUUAUGUAGGAAGCAAUCUAGAGCUCCUUUUCUUCACAGUUAUUGAUUCUCUUGUACUCUGACUGCAAAUUAGAUUCUGUAGUACUCUGACUGCAAAUUCCAGUCCCUUACAUUAUGUCCAAAACAUUAUGUCCAAACUUUGAUUUCUGUCUCUUCAGCUCAGAUACCUGUGUGCCUCUUGGUCUUCAGCUCCAAGUGCUAUGGGUGCCUCAGAGCUGAAAGCUGGGCAAUCAUGAGGCUCACCACAUUUGUUAUCCUUAUCUUGGGGAUCAUGGUUGUGUUCUGAAAAUAUAUUUUUCUUUUCACAUACUUUUCAUAUACAUAUUUGUUUAGUUUUAUAGUUAUUUAUAACAGAAUGGCUAGAUUAUUACCAGCUACUGUAACAUGUGAGAAUCAGGAGUCCUCUCCCACCCAUGAGCAUUAAAAAUCAAAUGAACAAAUAAAGCUUCAAGAAGACAGUCAAUUAUUCCCAUUUUCACCAAUGUGCUAAGUGCUGGCAUUGGUCCUUAAGAACCCAAACUUAUAACCAUUUGAUUAGUGAAACUUUUGGAUGGAGUAAAUGUAGCACUCAUUAGUUAUGUGAAUUUUUACAAGUUAUUUAAUGUUUCUGAGUUUUGCUGUCAUCUUUAAAAUGGAGAUAGAAAUACUCUUUAUAAUUGUUGUGAGGUUUAGAAGAGUGCUUUGAAGACACAUAACACAGUGUUUGACACAUAUUAAGCACCCUACCAAAUAUUAUUAUUCUGAAGUUAAAAGCUAAAAUCUUUAUUACAGUGAUGCUUAGAAAGUAUUUUCAUUAUAAAAACAGGGUAUAAAUGUAAUUUUAAAAUCCAAGUAGUACAAGAGAUUACACAAUAAGAAUUAUCUGCCUAUCACCUCAGAACUAGAAUCUUACUUCUGAGAGGUAACAUGAUCAAUUUUCAUAUGUACUCUUCCAAAAUUUUGCCAUGGCUGUACAAACCUCAGUUUCUGUAGCUUCUUCAUGUUUAUGGAAAUGGGAGUAUUUUAUACACAAUUUUCUCUAGCUUGCUUUUAUUCACCCAUUGAUAUAUCUUCAGUUUUGUUCCUUUUUACACCUACUAAUACAAUUCAUCCUUUAAUAACUGCAUCAUAUUCAUUGGUAUAAAUGUAACAAAAUUUGUUAUGUUUAUUGACAUAUUAUAAUAACAUUUAUUUAUUGACAGUAUUAAGAUAUUUUCAGGUUUUUGCUUUUAUUAAUAAGGCUGUAAGAAUCAUCUUUGUACAUAUAUGUUUGUGUAUGUGUGAACAUGACUAGGUAAGUUUCUACAACAAAGAUUGUUAGAUUAAAUAGUUAUGUAUGGUAUGACAUUUUGGUCAAUAUAGCUGCAUUUUCUUCCAAAGAGUUUCUCAAUUGGUGUUCCCACAAACAACACUGAUUUCUUAGCACAGUUUCUAAUACUGUAUAUUGUCAAACAAAAAUUUUGUGAUUUGAUACGUGAAACACAGAAAUUUAAUAUUUUAUUUUGCAUUGCUUUUGCUGUGGAAAUAGAUGGAACAUUUUUAUUUGGUUAUGAGCUAUUUGUAUUUCUAUCUAAAUAUCUAUUCUAAAUAUUUGCCCCUUUCCUAUUUCUUUUAAAUUGGUUUGUCUUUUUUGCAAGAUGUUUAAAGUAGAAUCAAGAGAUUAGUUCUUUGACCCAUAUUACAAAAAAAAUAUAUUUUUUUCACAUUGAGGUUUAAUUUAUUUUUGUUCAGUUUGUUGUUUUUAGUUUUAAAAGUUUUAUAUAAACAAUAUUUUUAAUUAUUUCCAUCAUAGUUUUUACUUUUUCUGUUCUUUCUUUCCUAUUCCAAUAUAUAAAAAUUAAACCAUGGAUAUUUUUGACAUUUCUUUCAAAAUUUCUAGUAUUUAAAUAUUUUAGUCACAUGCAAUAGAUUUUUAAAAUUAGAACUGAAUAAUCUGGUUUUUUUAAAAAUAAAUUGCUAGUCAUUUGUUGAAUAAUAUUAUUUCCUUAGUAACUCAUUGGAAAUUCAAUCCAAUAAUAUGUUUUCAUUUUUCACUUUACAUGUGAUAUUUCUCUUUUGCUAUAAUCCUGGGAGCCUUUACAAAUUUUACAGAGAGGGAUAAAUUUGCUAUACUUAUUUUUUGGUAGCAAUUCUAAUAUAUAUAAGCACACAUACAUUUUAUAUAUAGUAUAAAUAUACUAUUAGAAAAUGAUGUCUGAUUUACUGAUUCUAAUGAUCAAUCAAAACUGAUCUCAAUAUUUAUAAUACUGAUAAUAUUUUUUCUUCUCUCCUUUUAAGACUAAAAUGCAUUUUGUAAUGAUUAGUCUCGGUCAUAAGACUUAACAUAAUUCUCUCAGAGAGUUUUGGUCUGGCCAUAUAGCAGUUCGGAGGGAUGCCUAGCUCAUAAGAGAGAAUGAAAUCUGUGUGCUCAACUGCAAGUGUGAUUGGAUUUACAGAUUAGCAAAAUGGGAAAGAUCAAAGCCCUGUUAUGAAGCAGACCUACAAGCCUAGAGCUUGCUCUUGUAAGAAAAAUUGUUCUUUCCCACUAAUCUUUCUAAUCUUGACCUCACAGAAGGGGUUUGUACUUAAGAUAAUGUUAUCAGGAUGCCAAAUUCAAUCUCAGACCACAUUUCACUUUCUCUUAAUGUGGGUGAACACUCCUUUGGUGAAUAAAUUGGUAUCUCUAUGGAAAUUUAAGGCUUCAAGCAGAAUUCUAAUUCCAUUAAAUUGAUGUUCAACAGAACACACUGAAUUUUGUGGAAACUAUGGAGGUCUGCUUACUUACUCUGAAUUAAUCACAGUCUAAUUUUUCCCAAGUGGUAGAACUUCAUUGUUCUUAUGUUUGUGACUUCAGUGUCUAGCACUGUGCCUGUCACACAUCAAUUUGCAGGUUGAGUCAUUUUUUUUAAGAAUCAAAGGUAAAUUUGCAGUUUAUGCAAUUUUAAAAUUCUAAACCAUAAACCUAUAUUAUUUACAGCUGAACAGGAAUGUUUGGGAAGUUUUGAAAUUGACUAUAUGUGGGCAGAUAAUGAGUUUCUUACCUUCCUGUUUCCUGUAUUCGGUCACAACAUAAUCUUAAGGUGGUGAGCUUUUUCUUAUCCUGAAUGUUAGGAAUAUUGGAGCAUUUCAAAAUGCUUGUUUUAUUAAAAAUUUUUCCUCAUAUUGAUUUCUAUCUUGGAACAAAAUGGAAUGCAUCAAAAAUAGUCACAACUGAAACUGUAAUGGAAACAAUUUAAUAUUAUUGAAGCAGAGGAUGCUUCAGUGUAUUCCAGUUCCUCAGGGUCAUGAUAAUAUUAUCAUGGAUCUGUGUACUCACAUAUAUCCUCUUGCCUCUACCAUUAUAUGCCUCUUAAGAAUCAUUUAUAGUAUCUCAAAUUCCUGAAAUGAAUCAUUUUCUUCUUUACCUCUGGGUCUUUCCUUAGGCAAGAUCCCUAUUGGGAAAAUUUCUUGAACUUUUUUUCUCUUUUCAUUUAGCUACUUGUAUUAGCAUUUACUAGUCAAUGUAAGUACAAUAUCUCUAGGAUAAUAUCUUGACUUGCUAAAGCGUGGUUAUAUGCCCUUCCUAUGUGCCACAGCACCUUUCUUACUUCUCAUAUUUUGCAGGAGUUAAGAAGGGCAUUCCUCAUCUGUGACGCAAAUUCAUUGCAUUCUUUCUCAACUGAGUUUAGGUGGAGCCCCAGAAUAUUCUUUCUCUCUCUCUCUGUCUCUCUUUCUCUCUCCUUUUAAACAAUCUUGUUAAGGUAUAAUUGACAUACUAUAUAUAGUUAAAGUGUAUAAUUUUAUAUGUUUCCACAAAUGUGUACAUCCAUAAAAUCAGAAUCAAAAUCAAUAUAAUAAACAUAUCUAUCAAACUCAAAUGUUUCUCCAUGCCCCUUGUAGUCCUUCUCUUUUGUGCCUCCCUACCCCUACUUUACCCAGCAUUCAUACAGUAUAUGCUCUUUUUAUUCUUCUGGUUUCUUUUAUUCAUCACACUUAUUUUAAGAUGCAUCCUUAUUGUUGGGUGUUACCAAUUGUUCCUUACUUUUUGUUGCUAAGUAAAUUGGCUUAUUCAUUACACUGUUGAUAGACAUUUGAGUUGUUUUUAGUUUUGGGCUACUGAAAAUAAAGUUUCUAUGAACAUUCAUUUACAAAUCUUUAUAUAAACAUAUGCAUUAAUUUAUCUUAAAUAACACGGAGUGGAAUAGCUAAUUUAUACGGUAGGUACACAUUAAGCUUUCUAAGAAACUGCCAAAGUGUUUUUCAGCGUGGUUAGACCCUUUUAUGUUUCUGCCAGUAAUAUAUAAAAGUUUCAUUUACUCAGCACCCUUGCCAACACUUAAUAUGGUUAUUUCUGUUGAAUUUUAGACAUUCUAAUAGAUGUGUAGUGGUAUCUUACUAUAGUUUCAAUGUUAAUUUUUCUACUAACUAAUUAUGUUGAGCAUGGUAUCUUACUAUAGUUUCAAUGUUAAUUUUUCUACUAACUAAUUAUGUUGAGCAAGUUUUCAUAUGAUGAAUCCACCUAUGUGUCUUUUUUGGUGGAAUGUAUUAUCAAAUCUUUUGCCCAUGUUUUUCAUUGGGGUUGCAUGUUUUCUUUUGGUUGAAUGUUAAGAUUUCUUUAUAUAUUCUUGAUAGUCUUUAUCAGAUAUAUGACUUGAAAAUAGUUUUCCUAGUCUGCCUUUUUUUUCAUUCUUUUAGCAGCGACUUUUGAAGAUCAUUCAUUUCUUCUUUUGAUAAAGUCAAAUUUUUUAAUUCAUUCUUUUAUGAAUUCUGCUUUUGAUAAAAUAUCCAAAUAAUAUUUGUCUAACCCAAAGUUACAAACAUUUUGUCCUAUGUUUACGUCUAGAAGUUAUGUGGUGUUAGGUCUUACAUAUAGAUCUAUGAUCCACUUCAAAGUUCAUUUUCUUUUUUUUUUUUUUUUUUUUUUUUUUGAGAUGGAGUCUCUUUCUGUCGCCAGCUUGGAGUGCAGUGGCACUAUCUCGGCUUACUGCAAUCUUCGACUCCCUGGUUCAAGUGAUUCUCCUGCCUCAGUCUCCCGAGUAGCUGGGAUUACAGGCAUGCACCACCACACCCAGCUAAUGUAUUUUUAGUAGAGACGGGGUUUCACCAUGUUGGCCAGGAUGGUCUCGAUCUCCUGACCUUGUGAUCCAGCCCACCUCAUCCUCCCAAAGUGCUGGGAUUACAGGUAUGAGCCACAGUGCGCAGCCUCAAAGUUCACUUUUACGUGGUAUGGGUUCAAGUUCAAUAUUUUGUUUUUUUAUUUUUUUGCAUGUGGAUAUCUGUUUCAGUAUUGUUGAAAAGACUAUCUUUUCUCAUCUGCUUGCACUUGUGUCUUUGUCUAAAGUCAACUGACCAUAUAUGUGUAGAUUAUGUAUAAAUUUGUAUUCUAUUCCACUGAAGGUUGUUUAUCUUGAUGACAGUACCAUAGAGACUUGACUAUAGUAACUACACUAUAGUCUUAAAAGUUGGUUGGUGAAUUAAAGUCAAUAUUCAAAUGUGUUUCUUCUUCACAAAGUUGUUUUGACUCUUCUAGGCCCUUUGAAUUUCCAUAUUAAUUUUCGAUUCAACUUGUCAAGCUCUAUAAAAAGCCUAUGGAGAUUUUGAAGGAAUUGAAUCUAUAGAUCAAUUUAGAGAGAAAUAACAUCUUAACCUUUUUGAGUCUCCGAGUCCUUGAUCAUGAUACAUAGCAUCAUAUAUUAGGUCUUUGUAAGUUUGCUUCACAAGGUUUUUAUUGUCUUUAUUUUAUAAGACUUGUACAUCUUUUGCCAGAUUUAUACAUAUUUUAUAUUUUUGAUGGUUCUGAUUCUUUAUUUAAUUUCAACUUCCAGUUGUUCUUUGCUAGUAUAUAGAAACAUGAUUGAUUUUUAUACAUAAAUUAUAGAAUUUUCUGAAGAUUCCAUAGGAUUUUCAAUGUAAAGGAUCAUACUAUCUGGUAAUAGAUAUCUUUACAUCUUUCUUUCUAAUAUGGAUGUCAUUUAUUUCUUUUUCUUGAUUUGUGGUACUGGCUAGUAUCAUAAUUAUAGUAGUUAGUGUAAGUGAUGAGAAUAUGCAUGCUUGCUGUGUUUCUUAUAUUAAAGAUACAGCAUUCAGUUUCAUUAAUAACUGUAAUGUUAGGGGAAAGUUGUUUACAGAUGCCAUUUAUCAAUUGGAAGAAAUUCUCUUCUAUGUCUAGUAUGCUGAGAAGCUUUAUUGGGAAUGGAUAUGGAUUUUGGCAAAAUUUUUUUAUAUUUAUUGAGAUGAUCUUUUUUUCUGUUUUAGUCUCUUAUUGUAAUGAAUUAAAUGGAUUGAUUUUCAAAUAUUAAAACCCACCUCACAUU